GAUGAACGCUGGCGGUAUGCUUAACACAUGCAAGUCGAACGGUGUCUUCGGACACAGUGGCGGACGGGUGAGUAACGCGUGAGAAUCUGGCUUUAGGUCUGGGACAACCACUGGAAACGGUGGCUAAUACCGGAUGUGCCGAAAGGUGAAAGGUUAACUGCCUAAAGAUGAGCUCGCGUCUGAUUAGCUAGUUGGUAGAGUAAGAGCCUACCAAGGCGACGAUCAGUAGCUGGUCUGAGAGGAUGAUCAGCCACACUGGGACUGAGACACGGCCCAGACUCCUACGGGAGGCAGCAGUGGGGAAUUUUCCGCAAUGGGCGAAAGCCUGACGGAGCAAUACCGCGUGAGGGAGGAAGGCUCUUGGGUUGUAAACCUCUUUUCUCAGGGAAGAACACAAUGACGGUACCUGAGGAAUAAGCAUCGGCUAACUCCGUGCCAGCAGCCGCGGUAAUACGGAGGAUGCAAGCGUUAUCCGGAAUGAUUGGGCGUAAAGCGUCCGCAGGUGGCUAUGUAAGUCUGCUGUCAAAGAGCGAAGCUCAACUUCGUAAAGGCAGUGGAAACUACAAGGCUAGAGUGCGUUCGGGGCAGAGGGAAUUCCUGGUGUAGCGGUGAAAUGCGUAGAGAUCAGGAAGAACACCGGUGGCGAAGGCGCUCUGCUAGGCCGCAACUGACACUGAGGGACGAAAGCUAGGGGAGCGAAUGGGAUUAGAUACCCCAGUAGUCCUAGCCGUAAACGAUGGAUACUAGGCGUGGCUUG
RNAcentral lists this ribosomal RNA (757 nucleotides) under uncultured cyanobacterium. Its description in RNAcentral is "bacterial SSU rRNA". It matches the Rfam family "Bacterial small subunit ribosomal RNA", at positions 28 to 829 of the family's 1533-position model. The record is from RNAcentral. Lineage: Bacteria; Bacillati; Cyanobacteriota.